UUCCUCUUUAAACCUCUGAUGACCACAUUUGGCCUGUGGGCCUUCAGUUUCACACUUGUGAUGUAGAUAAGACACCCAGUCGUUUGCUUGGUGCAGAAGGUGAGUACCACCAUUCAAAAACAAAUGCAACCCUUCACUCUUUUGUUCCUUCGAAUGUCCUGGAUUCAGAGAGGACUGCAUAUAAUCUGGGCUCCUUGCAGAGAGAGACAUUCUUCUUCCCAGAAGGACAGAGCAGACCUCACAUUUUCUACUGUUAUUCCUACAGACUUUUGAGGAUCUGUUGGAACUGCUGAGCACAGCCACAUUUGAGAGGACAAAACUCAAACCUGGAUUUCUUUCAACUGUUUUUUGUUGUUUUGUCUCGUGGACUGUUGACCACUUUGCAACAUUUUGGAGGAUAAAAACCAGCUUGGAGAUUUUUCUGCUCUUGGUUUUGAGCUCAUAACAACAGAGACAAUGAAUCCUAAAGGAGUUUGUCCUGAAGAAGAAGCCUUGCACUUCAUUGCUUCUGAGAAGGACAAAGACAUAUUUCAGAAGAAAUUCAUCAGUGAAGACAAAGGUCAUGGAGUUAUUGCCAC
Molecule: long non-coding RNA, 578 nt
Organism: Gambusia affinis (western mosquitofish)
Lineage: Eukaryota; Metazoa; Chordata; Actinopteri; Cyprinodontiformes; Poeciliidae
Exons: 3
Source: RefSeq, a predicted model, not a curated record